GGCCCAGUGGCUCAGUUGGUUAGAGUGCCGGCCUGUCACGCCGGAGGUCGAGGGU
RNAcentral lists this transfer RNA (55 nucleotides) under Clostridium sulfidigenes. It matches the Rfam family "tRNA", at positions 1 to 52 of the family's 71-position model. Rfam says of the family: Transfer RNA (tRNA) molecules are approximately 80 nucleotides in length. The record is from Rfam by way of RNAcentral. Lineage: Bacteria; Bacillati; Bacillota; Clostridia; Eubacteriales; Clostridiaceae.